Molecule: ribosomal RNA, 465 nt
Filed under: uncultured Klebsiella sp.
Lineage: Bacteria; Pseudomonadati; Pseudomonadota; Gammaproteobacteria; Enterobacterales; Enterobacteriaceae
Description: bacterial SSU rRNA
Rfam family: Bacterial small subunit ribosomal RNA
Source: RNAcentral
CCUACGGGUGGCAGCAGUGGGGAAUAUUGCACAAUGGGCGCAAGCCUGAUGCAGCCAUGCCGCGUGUGUGAAGAAGGCCUUCGGGUUGUAAAGCACUUUCAGCGGGGAGGAAGGCGUUAAGGUUAAUAACCUUGGCGAUUGACGUUACCCGCAGGAGAAGCACCGGCUAACUCCGUGCCAGCAGCCGCGGUAAUACGGAGGGUGCAAGCGUUAAUCGGAAUUACUGGGCGUAAAGCGCACGAAGGCGGUCUGUCAAGUCGGAUGUGAAAUCCCCGGGCUCAACCUGGGAACUGCAUUCGAAACUGGCAGGCUAGAGUCUUGUAGAGGGGGGUAGAAUUCCAGGUGUAGCGGUGAAAUGCGUAGAGAUCUGGAGGAAUACCGGUGGCGAAGGCGGCCCCCUGGACAAAGUCUGACGCUCAGGUGCGAAAGCGUGGGGAGCAAACAGGAUUAGAUACCCUAGUAGUC